GACGAACGCUGGCGGCGUGCUUAACACAUGCAAGUCGAACGGAAAGGCCCCUUUGGGGGUACUCGAGUGGCGAACGGGUGAGUAACACGUGAGUAACCUGCCCUUGACUUCGGGAUAACUUCAGGAAACUGGGGCUAAUACCGGAUAGGAAUCCUUGCUGCAUGGUGGGGGUUGGAAAGCUUCGGCGGUGUUGGAUGGACUCGCGGCUUAUCAGCUUGUUGGUGGGGUAGUGGCUUACCAAGGCUUUGACGGGUAGCCGGCCUGAGAGGGCGACCGGCCACAUUGGGACUGAGAUACGGCCCAGACUCCUACGGGAGGCAGCAGUGGGGAAUAUUGCACAAUGGGCGGAAGCCGGAUGCAGCAACGCCGCGGGCGGGAGGACGGCCUUCGGGUUGUAAACCGCUUUCAGCAGGGGCGAAGCUUGUGGUGACGGUACCUGCAGAAGAAGCACCGGCUAACUACGUG
Molecule: ribosomal RNA, 465 nt
Filed under: uncultured bacterium
Lineage: Bacteria
Description: partial 16S ribosomal RNA
Rfam family: Bacterial small subunit ribosomal RNA
Source: RNAcentral